AUGGAGGAGAUGUUGAGUUCCCUGAGGGAUGAAUCUUGCAUUCCCUACCUGGACGACAUACUGUGUUAUGCAAAGUCCUUCAGUGAUCACGUGGAGGUGUGUCGUAAGGUUCUCCAAGCUCUGCAGCACCAUGGGGUGAAGCUUCGACCGGAGAAAUGUGAGGUAUUCAAGCGAGAAGUUCGAUAUGUUGGGCGCAUGGUGUCAGCCGAGGGUGUUCGAGUUGACCCUAAAGACUUUGAGGCUGUGCUGGCUUUGAAAACCAAAACCCCACAAACAGUCGGCGACAUCAGACAGGUUCUUGGCUUCCUUAGCUACUACCGAUCCUACAUACAGGACUUCGCCAAGAUAGCCAAACCACUAUAUGAGCUGCUCCAAGGGAAGUCCCCCAUGCCAAAACAACCCCCCCGGCACUGUAAGUCCAAGGGUCCUCAAUUACCCUCCAGGACGCCUAUAGAAUGGACUGCAGAUCACCAAAGUACACUAGAAGAGCUCAUCAACAUGCUAACGCAUCCCCCAGUUCUAGCAUAUCCAAACUUUGAGGAGCCAUUCGUUCUGCAUACUGAUGCGUCAGAGAAAGGGCUUGGCGCAAUCCUCUACCAGCAGCAAGAUGGGAAACUGCGAGUCAUUGGAUAUGGAUCUAGAACAUUGACACAUGCGGAGAGAAACUACAACCUCCACAGCGGAAAACUUGAGUUCCUUGCUCUAAAGUGGGCAGUGUGUGAGAAGUUUAGAGAUUAUCUCUUCUAUGCUCCACACUUUACCAUCUACACUGAUAACAACCCACUGACCUAUGUAAUGAGCACUGCAAAACUCAAUGCAGUUGGACAUCGCUGGGUUGGAGAAUUAUCAGAUUUCCGCUUCAACAUCAAAUACAGGCCUGGGAAGAUCAAUAUUGAUGCUGACACACUCUCCCGCAUCCCGCUGGAUAUGAACAGUUAUGUGGAGACAUGUACUGAGGAGCAGUCACAGGAAGUGUUACAUGCAACCUGGGACGGUAGUCAAGCAGCAAAGAGAAAAGAAGUGGCCUGGAUAGUUGCUCUCUACGCCUCAUCUCUCGAUGUAAUCCCACAGCCUCGUAUGACCCUACCUGAAAUCAGUCAUGAUGAGCUUGCAAAAGCGCAAAGAGAAGACCCGGCAAUAGGGGAAGUAAUAAGGCUAAAAGAGACGAAUGCUGUUCUUACUGAUGCAACACGGAAGUCUGUGAGUGGGCUCACUCGAAAGAUCCUUCAUGAGUGGAAUCAACUACACCUUGAAGAUGAAAUCCUAUACCGACGGACAACGGAAAGAAAACAGUUAGUUCUUCCUGUCAAGUACCAACCUGUUGCUCUGAAACACCUCCAUGAUAACAUGGGACAUGUGGGUACAGAACGAGUGCUUCAACUCGCCAGAGAAAGGUUUUACUGGCCUUAUAUGAAAAGGUGCAUAGAGGACUAUGUGACAAAGAAAUGCAGUUGUAUAAAACAGAAGAAGCCCACAACGCAUGUGCGCGCACCAAUGGGUGGCAUAACAUCUAACUCGCCCCUUGACCUUGUCUAG
This 1536-nucleotide long non-coding RNA is filed under the name Gadus morhua (Atlantic cod). RNAcentral describes it as "lncRNA (ENSGMOG00000028046.1)". Lineage: Eukaryota; Metazoa; Chordata; Actinopteri; Gadiformes; Gadidae. The record is from RNAcentral.